CAGUAGCCGCGGGAAUACGGAGGGUGCAAGCGUUAAUCGGAAUUACUGGGCGUAAAGCGCACGCAGGCGGUCUGACAAGUCAGAUGUGAAAUCCCCGGGCUUAACCUGGGAACUGCAUUUGAAACUGUCAGGCUGGAGUCUUGUAGAGGGGGGUGGAAUUCCAGGUGUAGCGGUGAAAUGCGUAGAGAUCUGGAGGAAUACCGGUGGCGAAGGCGGCCCCCUGGACAAAGACUGACGCUCAGGUGCGAAAGCGUGGGGAGCAAACAGGAUUAGAGACCCGAGUAGUCCCUGUCUCUUAUAC
RNAcentral lists this ribosomal RNA (301 nucleotides) under uncultured bacterium. Its description in RNAcentral is "partial 16S ribosomal RNA". It matches the Rfam family "Bacterial small subunit ribosomal RNA", at positions 509 to 807 of the family's 1533-position model. The record is from RNAcentral.